UACGUAUGGUGCAAGCGUUAUCCGGAUUUACUGGGUGUAAAGGGAGCGUAGGCGGCGCGUUAAGUCUGAUGUGAAAACCCGAGGCUCAACCACGGGAGUGCAUUGGAAACUGGCGGGCUGGAGUGCCGGAGAGGUAAGCGGAAUUCCUAGUGUAGCGGUGAAAUGCGUAGAUAUAUGGAGGAACACCGGUGGCGAAAGCGGCUCUCUGGCCUGUAACUGACACUGAGGCUCGAAAGCGUGGGGAGCAAACAGG
RNAcentral lists this ribosomal RNA (253 nucleotides) under uncultured bacterium. RNAcentral's name for it is "partial 16S ribosomal RNA". It matches the Rfam family "Bacterial small subunit ribosomal RNA", at positions 524 to 776 of the family's 1533-position model. The record is from RNAcentral.